RNAcentral lists this long non-coding RNA (632 nucleotides) under Homo sapiens (human). RNAcentral's name for it is "HSALNT0261116". Lineage: Eukaryota; Metazoa; Chordata; Mammalia; Primates; Hominidae. The record is from RNAcentral.
UUUUACAGUGGGGGGAACUGAGGCACAGCGAGGCCAAGCACGAUGCCCAAGAUCACACAGCCAGCAGGUGGCCGGGAGGGGCUCGACCCCGUGCUGUCAGGCACCAGAGACUCGGCUCUUCAGCCCCAGGCCAGAGCCUCCCUGCACUGACGGGGUCGCGAAUUCGGGCAGGAGGGUUCGUGUGUGUCCUCACCUCUGGGACGCGAGCUCCGGGGACGGGGGACCUCGUCUGGCGUGGGAGGCAUUUAGUGAGCGCCGUGGACUGAAGCCGGGACGGUCUUAGGAGAACCACUUCCCUUCUUGGCCGCCUGAAACCCCCUACAGGGUUCUGCUUCUGGAACUGCAUUCGAGGUCAGAGUUUCUAGUACGAGUAAAGCGGAUCCUCGGGAAGAGACCCGACCAGAAGGAAAUCGCCGUCUUGGAAGAUCUAAGUCCGGGAUGGAACAAAACCCACUCCGGGCGGGGGGAGCGCGCCACCUGGCGGCGGAUCCUGCUAAGGCAGCGCCGCCCGGAGACCAGAAACGUUGGAUUUGGGCAGUGGGCCGAGGUGGUUGGAAUUGGCGAAUGGGCAGUUGUCUGAAAAUCAUUGUGUGAAACUAAGGACUGUCUACCAGUGGCUUCCAAAAUUCUGA